CCUACGGGUGGCAGCAGUGGGGAAUAUUGGACAAUGGGCGAAAGCCUGAUCCAGCCAUGCCGCGUGUGUGAAGAAGGCCUUCGGGUUGUAAGGCACUUUCAGUGGGGAAGAAAGCCUUGGGGCUAAUACCCUCGAGGAAGGACAUCACCCACAGAAGAAGCACCGGCUAACUCCGUGCCAGCAGCCGCGGUAAUACGGAGGGUGCGAGCGUUAAUCGGAAUUACUGGGCGUAAAGCGCGCGUAGGCGGUCUGAUAAGCCGGUUGUGAAAGCCCCGGGCUCAACCUGGGAACGGCAUCCGGAACUGUCAGGCUAGAGUGCAGGAGAGGAAGGUAGAAUUCCCGGUGUAGCGGUGAAAUGCGUAGAGAUCGGGAGGAAUACCAGUGGCGAAGGCGGUCUUCUGGACUGACACUGACGCUGAGGUGCGAAAGCGUGGGUAGCAAACAGGAUUAGAUACCCCGGUAGUC
RNAcentral lists this ribosomal RNA (465 nucleotides) under Vreelandella stevensii. Its description in RNAcentral is "partial 16S ribosomal RNA". It matches the Rfam family "Bacterial small subunit ribosomal RNA", at positions 338 to 795 of the family's 1533-position model. The record is from RNAcentral. Lineage: Bacteria; Pseudomonadati; Pseudomonadota; Gammaproteobacteria; Oceanospirillales; Halomonadaceae.